UGGGGUUUUUAGAGAAAGGGUUUAACCUUGCUCUUGCAGACAUGGCGCUGCUGCAACAUACGAUAGGAUUAUUCGUUAAUCCUCUCAAAGACAACAUUUUCAACCACAACUUCCCUUGUUAUUCCUUUGCUAAUUCCACUCUGUUCAAUCAGAAACCAAGGAAAACUCCUCAUGCGCUGCUUUCCUUGAGGAUGGAGAGGUUUACUCGUCCAUCAUCAAAGUUUCUGAAAUCUCCUGCCCAGGCUAGUGGUUAUAGAUUAAGCAAAUUAAGAGCUUCUAGAGUAGCUGAAGAACUCGAGCCUGAUGAAGAGGAGAAGAGGGGAGGAAACGCAUCUAGUGAGAGUGAUGGGGAGGAUGAUGAGCCUUUUAUGGACGAGGAAGAGAGGGAAGAGUGGAGGAGAAAGAUUAGAGAAGUGGUUAAUAUGAACCCAGAGGUCAAAAGGGAGGUAGACCCCGUCGAGAGGAGGAAAAAGAUCCAAAAGCUUUUGGAUGAUUACCCACUUGUUGUGGAGGAAGAGGACCCUGAUUGGCCUGAAGAUGCUGAUGGCCAUGGAUUCAACUUUGAUCAAUUCUUCGACAAGAUUAGUAUUAAGAAUGUCAAGAAGGAUGAUGAUGAGAAUGAUGAUAGUGAAAAUGAAAUUGUAUGGAGAGAUGAUGAUUACAUUCGUCCAAUCAAAGACAUUACCGCCAAAGAAUGGGAGGAGACUGUGUUCAAGGACAUCAGUCCACUGAUUAUCCUUGUGCAUAACCGUUAUAGAAGACCAAAGGAAAACGAAACGGUGCGGGAUGAAUUGGAGAAAGCUGUACACAUCAUAUGGAACUGCCACCUACCAUCGCCACGAUGUGUUGCAAUAGAUGCGGUUGUGGAGCUUGAUUUGGUCUCUGCUCUACAUGUCUCUAUAUUCCCAGAACUUAUAUUCACUAAAGCUGGAAAGAUCUUGUACCGGGAGAAAGCACUUCGUACAGCAGACGAGUUGUCAAAAAUAAUGGCUUUCUUCUAUUACGGAGCAGCCAAGCCACCUUGUUUGAAUACCAUUGAGAAGAGUGAAGAACUUAUCCCUACUGUUUAAGUCAACAGCGAGCAGUAUUAGAGCUGAAAAGUUUUACAUAUCUGCAUAUACCUACGAACAAUGGAUCAGUAAUGAGAGUUUCUGGGUAAGCAAUAUCUUUUUUUUUUGAAAGGCAAUUUUUUUUAAUUAAUCUCUGAAAUGAAAUGGGUAAACGAUGUUUUCUUUACGGUGAUGUUGCUCCUCCGCAGGUCAAUUGAUGUUUGAAAUUUCAUCUUACAUGUAAGAAAUCCCUUAUUGUGAAGACCGGAACAGUGGAAACCAUUAUGGUAGUGGAAGUGGAAGGCAAAUAGCUGGUUAGGGUUGAAGCCAUCAAACUAGCAAUUGGCAAUGCCACUGUUUUCUUCUUCUACUUUCCUUUUGAGAACAGAGAGGCAUUUUCCGGUACUGUGGGUGACCCGAAAUCGGAAGCUACGGUUAGUCAACCUUUUGGUUGGUUUGAUGGAUUUCCAGUGUGCCUCUGCUUAACUUUCCGGGGUGCUCAUUGACCGAAGACUUCUCCAUGCUUAACAACAGUGAGGUAGUCUUGUCCUCCUGAGCAGUUGUCCAUUUAGUUGCUGAAUCUGUGCUUCCAUUAAAAAAAUGGUAUUUCAAGCUCUUCAGCUUAGUUUUAUCUGCUGAAUGCAAUUCAGCUGAGGGGUUUUUUUUUUGUUUUUGCAAAAUCCAUGUGGUUUUUGUUUUUCUCAUUGUUGUAGUUCCGUUGAUUGUCAUUUUGCCUUCUUUUUUUUCCUUGUUCACGGAAACAAGAGCAAUGAGAAGUGUCGAAGCUACCAUCAUCUCCUUUUUGUGCGAAAGCAAAUUUCCAAACUUUUGAGAA
This is an RNA transcript of Rhododendron vialii, 1884 nucleotides long. It is a transcript of the gene named thioredoxin-like fold domain-containing protein MRL7L, chloroplastic, with no coding region annotated. Lineage: Eukaryota; Viridiplantae; Streptophyta; Magnoliopsida; Ericales; Ericaceae. The record is from RefSeq and is a predicted model, not a curated record. The transcript has 6 exons.